RNAcentral lists this ribosomal RNA (253 nucleotides) under uncultured bacterium. RNAcentral describes it as "partial 16S ribosomal RNA". It matches the Rfam family "Bacterial small subunit ribosomal RNA", at positions 524 to 776 of the family's 1533-position model. The record is from RNAcentral.
GACGAACCGUGCAAACGUUGUUCGGAAUCACUGGGCUUAAAGGGCGCGUAGGCGGGCAAGCAAGUCCGGGGUGAAAUCUUUCGGCUCAACCGGAAAAGUGCCUUGGAUACUGCUUGUCUGGAGGGAGGUAGGGGCAUGCGGAACUUCUGGUGGAGCGGUGAAAUGCGUUGAUAUCAGAAGGAACGCCGGUGGCGAAAGCGGCGUGCUGGACCUCUUCAGACGCUGAUGCGCGAAAGCUAGGGGAGCAAACGGG